This 348-nucleotide long non-coding RNA is filed under the name Phoenix dactylifera (date palm). RNAcentral's name for it is "long non-coding RNA (PDAC_LNC019586)". Lineage: Eukaryota; Viridiplantae; Streptophyta; Magnoliopsida; Arecales; Arecaceae. The record is from RNAcentral.
AUUAGUUGCUAUGUGCUGUGAGUGAAAUGAGAAUGAGAGAAAGAGAGACAAGCAAUCACAAACACGAUGUUUAUAGUAGUUCGGAGCUAACCCUUGCUCCUACGUCCACUCCCCAAGUCUCACUUGGGAAUUCACUAUAACCCCUUGGAUUACAGCCGGUUGUUUUCCAAGCUCACAACCAAACUUGUUGUUUUACGAGCUCACAACGAACUCGGUCGGUUUUCCCAGGCUCACCGACUAGAACCAACCCCGAUUGUUUUCCCGGGAUCACAAUCGAACCCUUACACGUUGGUUUUACACUCGGCUCACCAACCAACCUCUACACCCUUGAUUCAAUCCUCCGAUUGA